This 497-nucleotide ribosomal RNA is filed under the name uncultured bacterium. Its description in RNAcentral is "partial 16S ribosomal RNA". It matches the Rfam family "Bacterial small subunit ribosomal RNA", at positions 28 to 507 of the family's 1533-position model. The record is from RNAcentral.
GAUGAACGCUGGCGGCGUGCCUAAUACAUGCGAGUCGAGCGAACAGAUGAGGAGCUUGCUCCUCUGACGUUAGCGGCGGACGGGUGAGUAACACGUGGAUAACCUACCUAUAAGACUGGGAUAACUUCGGGAAACCGGAGCUAAUACCGGAUAAUAUAUUGAACCGCAUGGUUCAAUAGUGAAAGACGGUUUUGCUGUCACUUAUAGAUGGAUCCGCGCCGCAUUAGCUAGUUGGUAAGGUAACGGCUUACCAAGGCAACGAUGCGUAGCCGACCUGAGAGGGUGAUCGGCCACACUGGAACGGAGACACGGUCCAGACUCCUACGGGAGGCAGCAGUAGGGAAUCUUCCGCAAUGGGCGAAAGCCUGACGGAGCAACGCCGCGUGAGUGAUGAAGGUCUUCGGAUCGUAAAACUCUGUUAUUAGGGAAGAACAAAUGUGUAAGUAACUAUGCACGUCUUGACGGUACCUAAUCAGAAAGCCACGGCUAACUACGUG